GAGAGCCUUGCCUCCAUUUUGAACACUGCUGACUGGUCAGCGUGUUGGUUGCUGAAGGUUCAGGUGGCUGUGGCAAUUUCUUACAAUAAGAUAAAGGUGAAGUUGCCACAUUUAUUGACUCUUCCUUUCAUGAAAAACUUAUCUGUAGCAUACAAUGCUGAUUGACAGCAUUUUACUCACAAUUAAAAUUCUUUUUAAUUCUUAAGAAGUCCACUCUCUUGAAAAAUAGGAGUCCACUCACUGCUGCUGCUUUAUCAAAUAGGUUUAUGUAAUAAUCUAAAUCCUUCGUUGUCAUUUCAGUGCUCAUAACAUCUUCACAAGGAGUAAAAUCUAUCUCAGGAAACCAAUUUCUUUGCUCAUCCAUAAGAAGCAACUCCUCAUCCAUUCAAUUUUUAUCAUGAAAUGGAAGCAAUUCAGCCACAACUUUAGGUUCCACUUCUAAUUCUAGUUCUCUUGCUAUUUCCACCCCAUCUACAGUGACUUCCUCCACUGAAGUCCUAAACCCCUCAAAGUCAUCCAGGAAGGUUGGAAUCAACUUCUUCCAAAUUCCUGCUAAUAUUGAUAUUUUGACCUCCUUUCAUGAAUCACAAAUGUUCUUAAUGGUACCUAGAGUGGUGAAUCCUUUCCAGGUUUCAAUUUACAUUGCCUAGAUCCACCAGAUGAAUCACUAUCAAUGGUAACUAUAGGCUUGUGAAGUGUAUUUCUUAAAUAAUAAGACUUG
Long non-coding RNA from Sapajus apella (tufted capuchin), 721 nucleotides. RefSeq lists it as uncharacterized. The transcript is spliced from 2 exons. The record is from RefSeq and is a predicted model, not a curated record. Lineage: Eukaryota; Metazoa; Chordata; Mammalia; Primates; Cebidae.